AAAUCCGGUUCACUUUAACACUGAGGCGUGACGACGAGGCACUACGGUGCUGAAGCAACAAAUGCCCUGCUUCCAGGAAAAGCCUCUAAGCAUCAGGUAACAUCAAAUCGUACCCCAAACCGACACAGGUGGUCAGGUAGAGAAUACCAAGGCGCUUGAGAGAACUCGGGUGAAGGAACUAGGCAAAAUGGUGCCGUAACUUCGGGAGAAGGCACGCUGACACGUAGGUGAAGUGAUUUACUCAUGGAGCUGAAGUCAGUCGAAGAUACCAGCUGGCUGCAACUGUUUAUUAAAAACACAGCACUGUGCAAACACGAAAGUGGACGUAUACGGUGUGACGCCUGCCCGGUGCCGGAAGGUUAAUUGAUGGGGUCAGCGCAAGCGAAGCUCCUGAUCGAAGCCCCGGUAAACGGCGGCCGUAACUAUAACGGUCCUAAGGUAGCGAAAUUCCUUGUCGGGUAAGUUCCGACCUGCACGAAUGGCGUAAUGAUGGCCAGGCUGUCUCCACCCGAGACUCAGUGAAAUUGAACUCGCUGUGAAGAUGCAGUGUACCCGCGGCAAGACGGAAAGACCCCGUGAACCUUUACUAUAGCUUGACACUGAACAUUGAGCCUUGAUGUGUAGGAUAGGUGGGAGGCUUUGAAGUGUGGACGCCAGUCUGCAUGGAGCCGACCUUGAAAUACCACCCUUUAAUGUUUGAUGUUCUAACGUGGACCCGUUACCCGGGUUGCGGACAGUGUCUGGUGGGUAGUUUGACUGGGGCGGUCUCCUCCUAAAGAGUAACGGAGGAGCACGAAGGUUGGCUAAUCCUGGUCGGACAUCAGGAGGUUAGUGCAAUGGCAUAAGCCAGCUUGACUGCGAGCGUGACGGCGCGAGCAGGUGCGAAAGCAGGUCAUAGUGAUCCGGUGGUUCUGAAUGGAAGGGCCAUCGCUCAACGGAUAAAAGGUACUCCGGGGAUAACAGGCUGAUACCGCCCAAGAGUUCAUAUCGACGGCGGUGUUUGGCACCUCGAUGUCGGCUCAUCACAUCCUGGGGCUGAAGUAGGUCCCAAGGGUAUGGCUGUUCGCCAUUUAAAGUGGUACGCGAGCUGGGUUUAGAACGUCGUGAGACAGUUCGGUCCCUAUCUGCCGUGGGCGCUGGAGAACUGAGGGGGGCUGCUCCUAGUACGAGAGGACCGGAGUGGACGCAUCACUGGUGUUCGGGUUGUCAUGCCAAUGGCACUGCCCGGUAGCUAAAUGCGGAAGAGAUAAGUGCUGAAAGCAUCUAAGCACGAAACUUGCCCCGAGAUGAGUUCUCCCUGAGACUUAAAGUCUCCUGAAGGAACGUUGAAGACGACGACGUUGAUAGGCCGGGUGUGUAAGCGCA
Molecule: ribosomal RNA, 1365 nt
Filed under: Salmonella enterica subsp. enterica serovar Enteritidis
Lineage: Bacteria; Pseudomonadati; Pseudomonadota; Gammaproteobacteria; Enterobacterales; Enterobacteriaceae
Description: partial 23S ribosomal RNA
Rfam family: Bacterial large subunit ribosomal RNA
Source: RNAcentral